This 1269-nucleotide ribosomal RNA is filed under the name Microbacterium sp. LEMMJ01. Its description in RNAcentral is "bacterial LSU rRNA". It matches the Rfam family "Bacterial large subunit ribosomal RNA", at positions 1 to 1223 of the family's 2925-position model. Lineage: Bacteria; Bacillati; Actinomycetota; Actinomycetes; Micrococcales; Microbacteriaceae. The record is from RNAcentral.
UUCAAGUCUUUAAGAGCAAACGGUGGAUGCCUUGGCAUCUGGAGCCGAAGAAGGACGUAGCAAUCUGCGAUAAGCCUCGGGGAACUGAUAAGCAAGUUUUGAUCCGAGGGUGUCCGAAUGGGGAAACCCCGCUGGGCGGCGUGCCGACCUAGUGACUCCCGCCUGAAUAUAUAGGGCGGGUAGAGGGAACGUGGGGAAGUGAAACAUCUCAGUACCCACAGGAAGAGAAAGCAACCGCGAUUCCGUUAGUAGUGGCGAGCGAAACCGGAUCAGGCUAAACCGAGUGUGUGUGAUAUCCGGCAGGAGUUGCAUAUUCGGGGUUGUGGGACUCACCAGUCAGUUCUGCCGAGCUGGCGACGUUACAGAAGCGUAUAGACGAACGGUCUUGAAAGGCCGGUCAUAGAGGGUGCCAACCCCGUAGUCGAAAUGCGUGUUCUGGCGUGGAGAGUAUCCCAAGUAGCACGGGGCCCGUGAAAUCCCGUGUGAAUCUGUCAGGACCACCUGAUAAGCCUAAAUACUCCCAGAUGACCGAUAGCGGACAAGUACCGUGAGGGAAAGGUGAAAAGUACCCCGGGAGGGGAGUGAAAUAGUACCUGAAACCGUUUGCUUACAAACCGUUGGAGCACCCCUGGUAGGUGUGACAGCGUGCCUUUUGAAGAAUGAGCCUGCGAGUUAGCGAUAUGUGGCGAGGUUAACCCGUGUGGGGUAGCCGUAGCGAAAGCGAGUCUGAAUAGGGCGAUUCAGUCGCAUGUCCUAGACCCGAAGCGAAGUGAUCUAUCCAUGGCCAGGUUGAAGCGACGGUAAGACGUCGUGGAGGACCGAACCCACUUAGGUUGAAAACUGAGGGGAUGAGCUGUGGAUAGGGGUGAAAGGCCAAUCAAACUUCGUGAUAGCUGGUUCUCUCCGAAAUGCAUUUAGGUGCAGCGUUGCGUGUUUCUUGCCGGAGGUAGAGCUACUGGAUGGCCGAUGGGCCCUACAAGGUUACUGACGUCAGCCAAACUCCGAAUGCCGGUAAGUGAGAGCGCAGCAGUGAGACUGUGGGGGAUAAGCUUCAUAGUCGAGAGGGAAACAACCCAGACCACCAACUAAGGUCCCAAAGCGCGUGCUAAGUGGGAAAGGAUGUGGAGUUGCUCUGACAACCAGGAGGUUGGCUUAGAAGCAGCCACCCUUGAAAGAGUGCGUAAUAGCUCACUGGUCAAGUGAUUCCGCGCCGACAAUGUAACGGGGCUCAAGCAMGCCACCGAAGUUGUGGCAUUGACMUUAUUGGUA